This 499-nucleotide unclassified non-coding RNA is filed under the name uncultured Glomus. Its description in RNAcentral is "SSU rRNA". It matches the Rfam family "Eukaryotic small subunit ribosomal RNA", at positions 591 to 1091 of the family's 1831-position model. Lineage: Eukaryota; Fungi; Glomeromycota; Glomeromycetes; Glomerales; Glomeraceae. The record is from RNAcentral.
CCAAUAGCGUAUAUUAAAGUUGUUGCAGUUAAAAAGCUCGUAGUUGAAUUUCGGGGUUAGUAAGUUGGUCGUGCCACUGGUAUGUACUGGCUUUACUGAUUCCUCCUUCUUGUAGAACCGUAAUGCCAUUAAGUUGGUGUUGCGGGGAAACAGGACUGUUACUUUGAAAAAAUUAGAGUGUUUAAAGCAAGCUAACGCUUGAAUACAUUAGCAUGGAAUAAUGAAAUAGGGCGUUCGAUCCUAUUUUGUUGGUUUCUAGGAUUGACGUAAUGAUUAAUAGGGAUAGUUGUGAGCAAUAGUAUUCAAUUGUCAGAGGUGAAAUUCUUGGAUUUAUUGAAGACUAACUACUGCGAAAGCAUUUGCCAAGGAUGUUUUCAUUAAUCAAGAACGAAAGUUAGGGGAUCGAAGACGAUCAGAUACCGUCGUAGUCUUAACCAUAAACUAUGCCGACUAGGGAUCGGAUGAUGUUAAUUUUAUAAUGACUCAUUCGGCGCCUUAC